CAACAGGCGCCCGCCACCACGCCCGGAGAAUUUGUUGUAUUUUUAGUAGAGACGGGGUUUCACCGUGUUAGCCAGGAUGGUCUCGAUCUCCUGACCUCGUGAUCCACCCUCCUCGGCCUUCCAAAGUGCUGGGAUUACAGGCGAGAGCCACCGCGCCCGGCCAAACAACAAUUUGGCAUGCAAACACGUGGGGCCUCAGAGAAGACUCAGGACCUUGAAGGAGUUGCCCAACUCAGAGCUAUGGUACUAGCAGGGGUCCACUGAAGCCUCCGCAAGUUGCAGCUUCUCCUCUGGUAAAACUGGAAAUGUUAAUUGGACAUGCUAAAUGGGAACUAGUAAAAUCGCCUCAGCCCACAAAGUAUAGGGUAGAAGCUGGAGUGCUAAUCAGGACAGAUCCUCCACUGCACAGUCCUUUGUGUGGAGCAUUUAUCAGGGAUAAUGGCAAAAAAACGGAAACAAAAAUCAUGGCAUUUUGAAGACCAGAGAUAUGAAUCUCCUUCAUCUGGCGUCCCACUGGGCUGGAAUCCUUUUCACUGAGAAAGCUCUGCUUCUAAAACUAUACAAGCACCCUCCCUCUAGGCUCAGGGACUGUUGCAGAGAAGGUGGGCCCAUAAGAUAAUAAGGACCAGUUACGAGCGAUAAAAUUAGGUCAAGAUCAAACCUCCAAAUCAAGAAGGGGUACAAAGAUGCCUAAACAACUGGUAAAGCACCUUUAGUUGCCUUCUAAAUGAUUAUGUGUCACUUUUCAUCCACCCCAACUAUAGAGUGUUUUCUGCUUACAAUAGAAUUAAAGGAAAAUAUUUACUAACAGAAUAUAGAUACCUUGUAACAAAGCCUCCUGGAUAUAAUACUCCCAGUCAUGAGUUGUGAAGAUAAAUAUAGAUAUACAGAGAUAUAUACACAUAUUUUAAAUUAUUUUUAGAACAAUGCUUUUGUUUUGUAUAGCUAAUUGCUAUAAGCCUGUAACAAAAAACAAGCUUACAGUAUCUCAACACAUAGAAGUUAAAAAUAAAUCAGUCUUAUAAAUUUGCCUUUUUGUUUUGUUUGUUGGCUUUUUACUUAAAAUAAUAACUUGAAGAGGUAAUGAAUGCCUGUCCACAUCUAUUCCUAUCUGGCCUAGAACAGUUAAUUGGCUGUAAGUGUUUUGACUCUUAAGGCCCUAUGCCUCAGGGAGCCCCACCAAGGGACAGGAUAGACCCAGGGCAGGCAGCCAUGCUGAGAGGUGACAGCGUGCUGGCAGUCCUCGCAGCCCUCGCUUGCUCUCGGUGCCUCCUCUGCCUGGGCUCCCACUUUGGCGGCACUUGAGGAGCCCUUCAGCCCGCCGCUGCACUGUGGGAGCCCCUUCAUGGGCUGGCUGAGGCCGGAGCCGGCUCCCUCAGCUUGCGGGCAGGUGUGGAGGGAGAGGUGCGGGCGGGAACCAGGGCUGCGUGGGCUGCUGGCGGGCCACGGUAGUUCCAGGUG
This 1461-nucleotide long non-coding RNA is filed under the name Homo sapiens (human). RNAcentral's name for it is "HSALNT0284158". Lineage: Eukaryota; Metazoa; Chordata; Mammalia; Primates; Hominidae. The record is from RNAcentral.